This 73-nucleotide transfer RNA is filed under the name Chlamydiia bacterium. Its description in RNAcentral is "tRNA-Ile". It matches the Rfam family "tRNA". From Rfam's summary of the family: Transfer RNA (tRNA) molecules are approximately 80 nucleotides in length. RNAcentral also lists the same sequence under 1 other name. The record is from RNAcentral. Lineage: Bacteria; Pseudomonadati; Chlamydiota; Chlamydiia.
GGGGCAGUAGCUCAGUGGUUAGAGCAGCGGACUCAUAAUCCGUUGGUCGUAGGUUCAAGUCCUACCUGCCCCA